AGCUCCAAUAGCGUAUAUUAAAGUUGUUGCAGUUAAAAAGCUCGUAGUUGAAUGUCUGGUGCGUGCGUGCGGGCCGCUUCACUGCGGCGCUGUUGCGUGCGCGCCAUCCGCGCGGGGGGGCUUGCUCUCCUGCGCCAGCUACUGUGAGAAAAUUAGAGUGAUCAAAGCAGGCUUACGCCUUGCAUAUGUUAGCAUGGAAUAGCAAUUUAGGACCUUGGUCUAUUUUGUUGGUUGCGGUCCGAGGUAAUGUUUAAUGGGGAUAGUUGGGGGCACUCAUAUUCAACUGUCAGAGGUGAAAUUCUUGGAUUUGUUGAAGAUGAACAACUGCGAAAGCAUCUGCCUGGGAUGUUUUCA
This 354-nucleotide ribosomal RNA is filed under the name uncultured eukaryote. Its description in RNAcentral is "SSU rRNA". It matches the Rfam family "Eukaryotic small subunit ribosomal RNA", at positions 587 to 972 of the family's 1831-position model. The record is from RNAcentral.